RNAcentral lists this ribosomal RNA (514 nucleotides) under uncultured bacterium. RNAcentral's name for it is "bacterial SSU rRNA". It matches the Rfam family "Bacterial small subunit ribosomal RNA", at positions 32 to 518 of the family's 1533-position model. The record is from RNAcentral.
AACGCUGGCGGCGUGCCUAAUACAUGCAAGUCGAACGGCUUUUCUAUGGAAGCUUGCUUCCACUGAGAAGAUAGUGGCGAACGGGUGAGUAACACGUGGGUAACCUGCCCAUAAGAGGGGGGAUAACAUCCGGAAACGGGUGCUAAUACCGCAUAGUUUUCUUGAUCGCAUGAUCGGGAAAGGAGAGACGGCCUUUGUGCUGUCGCUUAUGGAUGGACCCGCGGCGUAUUAGUUAGUUGGUGAGGUAACGGCUCACCAAGACGAUGAUACGUAGCCGACCUGAGAGGGUGAUCGGCCACAUUGGGACUGAGACACGGCCCAAACUCCUACGGGAGGCAGCAGUAGGGAAUCUUCCGCAAUGGACGAAAGUCUGACGGAGCAACGCCGCGUGAGUGAAGAAAGGUUUUCGGAUCGUAAAACUCUGUUGUCAGAGAAGAACAAGUUGGAGAGUAACUGCUCCAGCCUUGACGGUAUCUGACCAGAAAGCCACGGCUAACUACGUGCCAGCCGCUGC